RNAcentral lists this ribosomal RNA (423 nucleotides) under uncultured bacterium. Its description in RNAcentral is "bacterial SSU rRNA". It matches the Rfam family "Bacterial small subunit ribosomal RNA", at positions 202 to 622 of the family's 1533-position model. The record is from RNAcentral.
AAGGCCUUGCGCUUUUGGAGCGGCCGAUGCCUGAUUAGCUUGUUGGUAAGGUAAAAGCUUACCAAGGCUUCGAUCAGUAGCUGGUCUGAGAGGACGGCCAGCCACACUGGGACUGAGACACGGCCCAGACUCCUACGGGAGGCAGCAGUGGGGAAUUUUGGACAAUGGGGGCAACCCUGAUCCAGCCAUGCCGCGUGAGUGAAGAAGGCCUUCGGGUUGUAAAGCUCUUUCAGCCGGAACGAAACGGUUACGGUUAAUACCCGUGAUUACUGACGGUACCGGAAGAAGAAGCACCGGCUAACUACGUGCCAGCAGCCGCGGUAAUACGUAGGGUGCGAGCGUUAAUCGGAAUUACUGGGCGUAAAGCGUGCGCAGGUGGUUUUGUAAGUCAGAUGUGAAAGCCCCGGGCUCAACCUGGGAACU